CAUUAAAACACCAAUUCUCAUAUGAUCACCGAAGUUAAGCAAUUUUGAACCUGGCCUGUAACUAGAUGAGUGACCACUUGGGAAUACUAGGCACUGUAAG
This is a non-coding RNA of Acanthosepion pharaonis, 100 nucleotides long. The record is from the annotation of a GenBank genome assembly. NCBI's taxonomy places the organism in Eukaryota, Metazoa, Mollusca, Cephalopoda, Sepiida, Sepiidae.